Salvelinus sp. IW2-2015 is the source of this 314-nucleotide non-coding RNA. Lineage: Eukaryota; Metazoa; Chordata; Actinopteri; Salmoniformes; Salmonidae. The record is from RefSeq and is a predicted model, not a curated record.
AAACCCGGACCGUUUCUAUGGUUACUACUUGUACACAAAGAGAUGGCGGCUGAAACUGGGGAGAAAUGUGCUAGUUUCACACCUUGCCAGACUGCAACCAUGCUUGAGGAAUCUGAGCCAAGACCCCAAACAGGGUUAGACCCGUCCAUGAACCGUCAUCGACCUGCAUCAGAAAAAACACAGGACAUUUCACAUUUAUUGGCAAGCAUCUUCAAGGAUCUCUACACAACAGAGAUUAUUGGGAAAGACACAGUUGCCAUUCUCACCAAGACAAGAAGGGGAGGCAACAACUACCAUGACAAAUAUGUGGAGGA